CGAGACCGAGACCAAUCCAGCAGCCCUCGCAGGACUCCUCCUCGCCAGGGAAUAAAGUCCAGGAGCCCGUCCCUGCUCCGAUUUCUUUUCCGUGCAGCUUGAUAAGUAGCUCUCGAUCCUUCCUGUCGCCGAGACCGCAGCAGGCCGCCUCUGUUGUCGUCCCGGAGCACCCUCCGCCCACGCCGGAGUUCAUCCCACCAUCAUCGGAGUUUGCCCGUCUUCGCCGGAGCCGCCGUUAGUCGGAGAGUCACCGGAGAAGCACCACCGGAGGCACCACGUGGGAACUAACCCUUUUUCACUGUUGUUCGUGGUAAGCACGUGCACGUAAUCCGAUUCAUCCAAUCCGCGAAAUUGCUACAGUACCCGUAUUAUACCUAUUUUAAGUUGUGUUUAGAUCGGACAGAUUCUCGGUAAGAUUUUGAAACCUGUUUAACUUUUUACUCGUAACUCCGAAUCAGGAAAUUCUUUUUCCUGUGAUCUCGUAAUGAUGAGAAGAACAUGAUAGCACUAAUAUUUUUCAGGUUUGUGAUAUUUGAAAAUUUAGUUUGAUCAGAUUUAAUUUAAACCUACCAAAGGCCAUAUUUUGUAAACUGUUCGUCUAAUUUAAUUAAUUCUUUUUCUUUAUGCUACCACUAGCAUGUAGAUAAUAAAUACCUACUCGUAUGUUUCUGUUAGUUGAGUUUUCAUUAAAUUCUUUGUUGUUGACUUUAUUUUGAUGUUAUGUGAGUACGGUUUAUUUAUCGAUGCAUUCGUCGAAUAUAUAUAGAUUGUCCGGAGUGUGGAGCGGAUCAUAAUUAAGCGUUAGAGUACUUCAACACCGUUCAAGGCAAGUUUGCACUUUUGAUUAUGCUCAUCCUAUAUGUAUGUUUUGCAUUGUUAUGAUAUGUUAUGUGUUUGGUG
This 900-nucleotide long non-coding RNA is filed under the name Hordeum vulgare. RNAcentral describes it as "long non-coding RNA (HVUL_LNC017233)". Lineage: Eukaryota; Viridiplantae; Streptophyta; Magnoliopsida; Poales; Poaceae. The record is from RNAcentral.